AAAAUACACCAAGACUUUGUAGUGUUUUACUCUAGGUAAAAUAUCAUCUGGUUUAAAUUAAAAUGAGAUUAUCUUAAACACGGCUGCAGUUCACAGUGCCAGGAAUUAUUCUCCUCACUACCCUCUUCAGUCGAAGGGGGGUGCAUUUUUGAUGUCUUCUAGGUGGAUAUGGACACUGAGGUGCGCGCGCACGGACUCCUGCACGCUGCCUUAGGUUACGCACACAAGCUCAGAUGUACAGGACUAUGUUUGGAACGCAAAACAAACAUGGCCUGCUCUCCUUCAGAAGCUUGCAGUGUUGGUUGCUGCUGGAUGCGUUGUGUGCAGCUGUGGGGAGUGUCUCUGUACUGAGGAAAUUCUUCUCAGGAAGUGGCGUAUAGUACCUGACCAACAACUACCAGCAUUGUUUCUGGAGCUCUGCCACACCCUCACGUAG
RNAcentral lists this long non-coding RNA (436 nucleotides) under Sinocyclocheilus anshuiensis. RNAcentral's name for it is "lncRNA (ENSSANG00000039144.1)". The record is from RNAcentral. Lineage: Eukaryota; Metazoa; Chordata; Actinopteri; Cypriniformes; Cyprinidae.